This 513-nucleotide long non-coding RNA is filed under the name Coffea arabica (coffee). Its description in RNAcentral is "long non-coding RNA (CARA_LNC006110)". Lineage: Eukaryota; Viridiplantae; Streptophyta; Magnoliopsida; Gentianales; Rubiaceae. The record is from RNAcentral.
CGCAGAGUUUGCAAUAGGCAGGUAACUCCUACCCCGGCAAGUUAGAGUUAGAGAACAUCGUUGUCAAAGAUUUUGCGAGCAGGAAUCCACUCCCCCGCCCUCUUUUUUAACCCACUCUUUCCGUUAAAGUCCAUACGAAGACGACGAAGGAAUGAAGCCGAGUAAUGGUACUAAGAUGCAGCAAUCUUUACCCACUCGGUUACACCAACCUUCCAACUCCGGUUGCCAGAAACUUCUUCUUCCUAUAAUGGAGAAUAACCACCUCAAAAGGGAAAAAGGAGAACUGUUUUUUAGGGGAACUUUGACCCUUUAAUGAAAACUCUUAACACGCUUUUCCUUCAAAUAUAUAUAAUUAUAAAAAGGGUCACUUUUUUAUACAGCCUUAAAAAGAAACAAGUCUACGGAGUAUUAUCAGAGUCCGAUGCCCCGCAAAUUCAUCGCAGGUGCUAGAAUGGUCAUUGUUUAACUGCUACGAAAUAACCAGACAAACCCCCCGUAUUACUUUUACCAACA